This 326-nucleotide ribosomal RNA is filed under the name uncultured eukaryote. RNAcentral describes it as "partial 18S ribosomal RNA". It matches the Rfam family "Eukaryotic small subunit ribosomal RNA", at positions 1470 to 1796 of the family's 1831-position model. The record is from RNAcentral.
CCCUUAGAUGUUCUGGGCCGCACACGCGCUACACUGAAGGAGGCAGCGUGUACUCCUGGAUCGAAAGAUUUGGGUAACCCGCGAAUCUCCUUCGUGCUAGGGAUUGAGGUUUGCAAUUAUCCUUCAUGAACGAGGAAUUCCCAGUAAGUGCAAGUCAUAAGCUUGCGCUGACUACGUCCCUGCCCUUUGUACACACCGCCCGUCGCUCCUACCGAUUGAAUGUUAAGGCGAACCCUCCGGAAUCGUGGCCUCGAUCGGGCAACCUUUCUUGGCCAAUGGUGAAGUUGUGUAAGCCUUGACAUUUAGAGGAAGGAAAAGUCGUAACA